This 800-nucleotide ribosomal RNA is filed under the name uncultured Glomus. RNAcentral's name for it is "SSU rRNA". It matches the Rfam family "Eukaryotic small subunit ribosomal RNA", at positions 314 to 1114 of the family's 1831-position model. The record is from RNAcentral. Lineage: Eukaryota; Fungi; Glomeromycota; Glomeromycetes; Glomerales; Glomeraceae.
AUCAACUUUCGAUGGUAGGAUAGAGGCCUACCAUGGUGGUAACGGGUAACGGGGUGUUAGGGCACGACACCGGAGAGGGAGCCUGAGAAACGGCUACCACAUCCAAGGAUGGCAGCAGGCGCGCAAAUUACCCAAUCCCGACACGGGGAGGUAGUGACAAUAAAUAACAAUACGGGGUUCUUUCGGAUCUCGUAAUUGGAAUGAGUACAAUUUAAAUCUCUUAACGAGGAACAAUUGGAGGGCAAGUCUGGUGCCAGCAGCCGCGGUAAUUCCAGCUCCAAUAGCGUAUAUUAAAGUUGUUGCAGUUAAAAAGCUCGUAGUUGAAUUUCGGGAUCAAUGUUUCGGUCAUGCCGUUGGUAUGUACUGAUAUUAUUGGUUUCUCACCUUCUAAAGAACCGUAAUGCCAUUAAUUUGGUGUCACGGGGAAUUAGGACUGUUACUUUGAAAAAAUUAGAGCGUUUAAAGCAGGAUCACGCUUGAAUACAUUAGCAUGGAAUAAUGAAAUAGGACAUCCGAUUCUAUUAUGUUAGUUUCUAGGAUCGAUGUAAUGAUUAAUAGGGAUAGUUAGGGGCAUUAGUAUUCAAUUGUCAGAGGUGAAAUUCUUGGAUUUAUUGAAGACUAACUACUGCGAAAGCAUUUGCCAAGGAUGUUUUCAUUAAUCAAGAACGAAAGUUAGGGGAUCGAAGACGAUCAGAUACCAUCGUAGUCUUAACCAUAAACUAUGCCAACUAGGGAUCAGAUGAUGUUAAUUUUUUAAUGGCUCAUUCGGCGCCUUACAGGAAACCAAAGUGUUUGGGUUC